GGCUCCCUUCCCAGCAUCUUUUUCCCGCUCUUCUUCCGACGAACGGAAGAAGGAAGCAAGUCUAGCAGCAGGAGACUGCGCAGGGGGAGUCUUCACGGGUGCCUCCUCUUCAUUAGCUUGGUCAUCACCGGCAGGAGGAGGGGAAUCAGCCCGGUAGGAAUUCUCAUGGGCACGACGCCUUAGGUGUCGGGCGUCAGAAGGCUUGGAGGCAGGUGCG
Molecule: long non-coding RNA, 217 nt
Filed under: Zostera marina
Lineage: Eukaryota; Viridiplantae; Streptophyta; Magnoliopsida; Alismatales; Zosteraceae
Description: long non-coding RNA (ZMAR_LNC001587)
Source: RNAcentral